CCUACGGGGGACAGCAGUGGGGAAUAUUGGGCAAUGGGCGCAAGCCUGACCCAGCAACGCCGCGUGAAGGAAGAAGGCUUUCGGGUUGUAAACUUCUUUUAAGAGGGAAGAGCAGAAGACGGUACCUCUUGAAUAAGCCACGGCUAACUACGUGCCAGCAGCCGCGGUAAUAAGUAGGUGGCAAGCGCUGUCCGGAUUUUCUGGGUGUAAAGGGCGUGUAGCCGGGCUUACAAGUCAGAUGUGAAAUUCCCGGGCUCAACCCCGGACCUGCAUUUGAAACUGUUGGUCUUGAGUAUCGGAGAGGCAGGCGGAAUUCCUAGUGUAGCGGUGAAAUGCGUAGAUAUUAGGAAGAACACCAGUGGCGAAGGCGGCCUGCUGGACGACAACUGACGGUGAGGCGCGAAAGCGUGGGGAGCAAACAGGAUUAGAUACCCCUGUAGUC
This 442-nucleotide ribosomal RNA is filed under the name uncultured bacterium. RNAcentral's name for it is "partial 16S ribosomal RNA". It matches the Rfam family "Bacterial small subunit ribosomal RNA", at positions 338 to 795 of the family's 1533-position model. The record is from RNAcentral.